GCAGGCCUAACACAUGCAAGUCGAGCGCUCACUUCGGUGGGAGCGGCGGACGGGUUAGUAACGCGUGGGAACAUACCCUUCUCUAAGGAAUAGCCACUGGAAACGGUGAGUAAUACCUUAUACGCCCUUCGGGGGAAAGAUUUAUCGGAGAUGGAUUGGCCCGCGUUAGAUUAGAUAGUUGGUGGGGUAAUGGCCUACCAAGUCUACGAUCUAUAGCUGGUUUUAGAGGAUGAUCAGCAACACUGGGACUGAGACACGGCCCAGACUCCUACGGGAGGCAGCAGUGGGGAAUCUUAGACAAUGGGCGAAAGCCUGAUCUAGCCAUGCCGCGUGAGUGACGAAGGCCUUAGGGUCGUAAAGCUCUUUCGCCAGGGAUGAUAAUGACAGUACCUGGUAAAGAAACCCCGGCUAACUCCGUGCCAGCAGCCGCGGUAAUACGGAGGGGGUUUG
This 450-nucleotide ribosomal RNA is filed under the name uncultured Alphaproteobacteria bacterium. RNAcentral describes it as "bacterial SSU rRNA". It matches the Rfam family "Bacterial small subunit ribosomal RNA", at positions 42 to 535 of the family's 1533-position model. The record is from RNAcentral. Lineage: Bacteria; Pseudomonadati; Pseudomonadota; Alphaproteobacteria.